GGACAAGAAGAAGAUUGAGGAUGCGAUUGAGGCGGCGAUUCAGUGGCUUGACAACAACCAGCUUGCGGAGGCUGAUGAGUUCGAUGACAAGAUGAAGGAGCUCGAGAGUAUCUGCAAUCCGAUCAUUGCUAAAAUGUAUCAGGGUUCUGGUGGUGUGCCUGGUGGUAUGGAUGAGGAUGAUGAGGGUCCUGCUCCAAGCGGCAGCGGUGCUGGUCCUAAGAUUGAGGAG
Molecule: unclassified non-coding RNA, 229 nt
Filed under: Hevea brasiliensis (rubber tree)
Lineage: Eukaryota; Viridiplantae; Streptophyta; Magnoliopsida; Malpighiales; Euphorbiaceae
Source: RNAcentral